AUGGCUCAGGACGAACGCUGGCGGCAUGCCUAACACAUGCAAGUCGAACGGAGUUAGAGGGGCUUGCUCCUCUAACUUAGUGGCGGACGGGUGAGUAACGCGUGAGUAACCUGCCUUUCAGUGGGGAAUAAUAUUCUGAAAAGAGUACUAAUACCGCAUAACGUAUAGAAACCGCAUGAUUUUUAUACCAAAGAUUUAUCGCUGAGAGAUGGACUCGCGUCCGAUUAGCCAGUUGGUGAGGUAACGGCUCACCAAAGCAACGAUCGGUAGCCGGACUGAGAGGUUGAACGGCCACAUUGGGACUGAGACACGGCCCAGACUCCUACGGGAGGCAGCAGUGGGGGAUAUUGUGCAAUGGGGGAAACCCUGACACAAGCAAUGCCGCGUGAAGGAUGAAGGUCUUCGGAUUGUAAACUUCUUUUGUCAAGGACGAUAAUGACGGUACUUGACGAAUAAGCUCUGGCUAACUACGUGCCAGCCGCGGC
RNAcentral lists this ribosomal RNA (485 nucleotides) under uncultured bacterium. Its description in RNAcentral is "bacterial SSU rRNA". It matches the Rfam family "Bacterial small subunit ribosomal RNA", at positions 19 to 518 of the family's 1533-position model. The record is from RNAcentral.